AGUAGGAAAUACUUCUUUCAAAUCAAGUCAUAACACUUUUCAAAUCAAAGUCAUCUUGUCUGACCAAUGUCAAAUAAUUCCAUUCACCACACUUCCUCUGCACACACUGAUUUAAACCUCAACAUACCCAUGUCAAGUCAAGAUUUUUUUUUUCCUAGAAUUACUUGCUUAUUGGUUCAUUCAUUAUUAUGUCUUAAUCCGUGGGAACACUUUCGAAAUUUAAAAGUUCAUAUUCUUCUUUUGACAACUAAUCAAAAAUGUUAUGUAACUAUUUAAUCUUUUCUAGCAGUAUAAUGAGUUGUCUAACAAAGAGCAGUGGGUAUGGUUAGACAAUAAAUAAAAAUAAAUAUUGGGACUAGAUUAAUACCUGUCGUCAACACAUCAGAAGCCUGUGCAUCUUGCUGUGUAAGUGCAAAUACUCUUCCUUGAGUCUUUGGCCCCUGGCUUCCUUCCAUUGCCUGAGUAGAUCUAUUCUCGUUUCUUUGUGGGCAGUCUGCAAUUUUAUGACCUAUCUUACCACAUCUAAAACAGGCACCGGUGUUCCAAUGGCAAUCCUUGUCAGCAUGAGCUUUACCACAUCUGGAACAUUUAUUGAUAUUCAUUUGCUUAAGGUUGUCACUCGUGGAUUUCUUGUUUGAACUUUCGGCGUUUUCAUUGCUUUGCCCCUGAAAUUCAUUCGAUCUGUUCCUCUUCUUUUGAUUUCUUUCCCUUUCCAACCGUUCAUCAUUAACUCCCCUUUCAA
This 742-nucleotide long non-coding RNA is filed under the name Phoenix dactylifera (date palm). Its description in RNAcentral is "long non-coding RNA (PDAC_LNC010571)". Lineage: Eukaryota; Viridiplantae; Streptophyta; Magnoliopsida; Arecales; Arecaceae. The record is from RNAcentral.